Molecule: ribosomal RNA, 128 nt
Filed under: Lodderomyces parapsilosis
Lineage: Eukaryota; Fungi; Ascomycota; Pichiomycetes; Serinales; Debaryomycetaceae
Description: Candida parapsilosis partial 5.8S ribosomal RNA
Rfam family: 5.8S ribosomal RNA
About the family: 5.8S ribosomal RNA (5.8S rRNA) is a component of the large subunit of the eukaryotic ribosome. It is transcribed by RNA polymerase I as part of the 45S precursor that also contains 18S and 28S rRNA.
Source: RNAcentral
GCAUCGAUGAAGAACGCAGCGAAAUGCGAUAAGUAAUAUGAAUUGCAGAUAUUCGUGAAUCAUCGAAUCUUUGAACGCACAUUGCGCCCUUUGGUAUUCCAAAGGGCAUGCCUGUUUGAGCGUCAUUU